UUUCCGUAGGUGAACCUGCGGAAGGAUCAUUAAAAAAUUGGACUCCAUUGGUGAGUUCAUUAAUAAUCCUACCCUUUGUGAAUUUGUUUGUUUGAAUAAUUUUUUUUCCAAAAAAAAUUAUUGAAUGUCUUUCCCUGUUUUGGUGGAGCUUGUAAAGUGAAACCAGGCAGGGGAAUGGCAAACAAUAAUUAUUUUUGAAAAAGACCUUUUUUAAAAUUAAACUUUUUGUAUUCAUUUGUCUAAAAUUAUUUUUAUAAUAUAAAAACAACUUUUGACAAUGGAUCUCUUGGUUCUCGCAACGAUGAAGAACGCAGCAAAAUGCGAUAAGUAGUGUGAAUUGCAGAAUACGUGAAUCAUCGAAUCUUCGAACGCAUAUUGCACUUUUUUAGUUUACUAAAAAAGUAUGUCUGUUUGAGUAUCAGUAAAAUAUUCUCAUAAAAAAUUUAUUUUUUAUGGUUAUGAGUGUUUUACAACGAUAACAAGUUGUUUCACUUUAAAUUCUUUGUUAUCAAAAAAUCAUUAAAAGCUAAUUUUAAAGAUUUUUUAAAAUUGGAUAAAAUUUUCCCGUAAAAAGGAAUAACCUAAACAAUUUUAAAAAAUUAAAAUUGGUUUGAUUUUUCUUGAUUUAAAAAGGAAAAAAAAGUAAAAAUUAACUUGAUCUCAAAUCAGAUAAGAGUACCCGCUGAACUUAAGCAUAUCAAUAAGCGGAGGAAAAGAAACUAACUAGGAUUCCCUCAGUAACGGCGAGUGAAGCGGGAAGAGCUCAAAUUUGAAAUCUUCAAGGUUUUACCUUGACGAAUUGUAGUUUAAAGAAGUGUUUUCUGUUGGAGUUUUGGUAAAAGUUCUUGGAAAAGGACAUCAUAGAGGGUGAGAAUCCCGUAUUUGACCAUUAUCUCCAGCUUUGUGAUACACUUUCAAAGAGUCGGAUUGUUUGGGAAUGCAGUCCAAAAUGGGUGGUAAAUUUCAUCUAAAGCUAAAUACUGGCGAGAGACCGAUAGCGAACAAGUACCGUGAGGGAAAGAUGAAAAGAACUUUGAAAAGAGAGUUGAACAGUACGUGAAAUUGUCAAAAGGGAAGCGUUUGACACCAGUGUUGUUUUCUCGAAAAUCAAUUAAAAAAGGCCGGAUUUUGUGUUGUAUUGACUUUAUCAGCUUUCUGCACUUUUUUCUUGUCUUUUUUAAUGCACUUUUCGUUUAACAAGUCAACAUCAAUUUCUUUGUUGUAAAAGGGUCAUUGGAAGGUGGCUUUCUUUUCGGAGAAAGUGUUUAUAGCCUUUGGCCUCUGCAAUCGGAGAGAUUGAGGUCUGCAGCGUAGAUCCUUCGGGGUUAGAUACAUUUGUGCUAAGUUAUAGCCUUUCAUAGACAACUUGUUGACUAUGAUCAGUCAUGUAGCUUACUCGCUUAUGCUAUUU
Molecule: unclassified non-coding RNA, 1411 nt
Filed under: uncultured Neocallimastigales
Lineage: Eukaryota; Fungi; Neocallimastigomycota; Neocallimastigomycetes; Neocallimastigales
Description: partial contains small subunit ribosomal RNA, internal transcribed spacer 1, 5.8S ribosomal RNA, internal transcribed spacer 2, and large subunit ribosomal RNA
Rfam family: Eukaryotic large subunit ribosomal RNA (bases 656-1411)
Source: RNAcentral